RNAcentral lists this ribosomal RNA (482 nucleotides) under uncultured bacterium. RNAcentral's name for it is "partial 16S ribosomal RNA". It matches the Rfam family "Bacterial small subunit ribosomal RNA", at positions 28 to 507 of the family's 1533-position model. The record is from RNAcentral.
GACGAACGCUGGCGGCGUGCCUAACACAUGCAAGUCGAACGGAACUGUUUUGAAAGAUUUCUUCGGAAUGAAUUUGAUUUCGUUUAGUGGCGGACGGGUGAGUAACGCGUGAGUAACCUGCCUUCAAGAGGGGAAUAACAUUCUGAAAAGAAUGCUAAUACCGCAUGACAUAUCGGAACCACAUGGUUUUGAUAUCAAAGGUUUUAUCGCUUGAAGAUGGACUCGCGUCCGUUUAGUUAGUUGGUGAGGUAACGGCCCACCAAGACCGCGAUCGGUAGCCGGACUGAGAGGUCGAGCGGCAACAUUGGGACGGAGACACGGCCCAGACUCCUACGGGAGGCAGCAGUGGGGGAUAUUGCGAAAGGGGGGCAACCCUGACGCAGCAACGCCGCGUGAAGGAUGAAGGUUUUCGGAUUGUAAACUUCUUUUAUUAAGGACGAAAAAUGACGGUACUUAAUGAAUAAGCUCCGGCUAACUACGUG